This 381-nucleotide ribosomal RNA is filed under the name Triticum aestivum (bread wheat). RNAcentral describes it as "partial small subunit ribosomal RNA". The record is from RNAcentral. Lineage: Eukaryota; Viridiplantae; Streptophyta; Magnoliopsida; Poales; Poaceae.
UUGUCUGGACAGAUUGCACUUAAUGUUGAUGCCUCAUUUUCCGAAGAUGACCACUCAGGAGCGUGUGGGGCAAUUGUCCGUGACAACCAUGGUCUGUUUGUAUGCGCAUCCAUUGCAAGACUUGGACAUGUCACUGACAUAGUUUCAGCGGAAGCUGCGGCCCUCGUGGAGGGUCUAAAGCUCUCACUGAGUAUUGGCUGCAACUCUAUUUUCAUUCAAAUGGACAAUUUGGUAGUGGUUGACGCAUUAAACCAGAACACUGGACACUCAAUGGUCGCAGCACCAAUUCUAGAUGAAUGUCGAAGUUUACUCCAGGAAUUCGGGAAGGUCCUUAUUAAACAUUGUAAUAGGAAGUCGAAUAUGAUAGCUCAUGUGUGCUAG